RNAcentral lists this long non-coding RNA (7059 nucleotides) under Medicago truncatula (barrel medic). Its description in RNAcentral is "long non-coding RNA (MTRU_LNC008704)". Lineage: Eukaryota; Viridiplantae; Streptophyta; Magnoliopsida; Fabales; Fabaceae. The record is from RNAcentral.
CCGGUCCACCCGGGCCGUGCAGAUUGAUCAUCGAAGUCAGCAUUCAAUCGCGGUGUUCUAGAAGUCGGAGAGCUCAGGGGAGGUGUGACAGGAGCACUGAUGGAGCCACUAUGAAAGUAGGGAUGAGGAAGUUUCGGAGAUGAUCCUGAAGAUGAAGCUGUGGAGAGGUUUUUGAGCCAUGGAAUGAGGGAAUUACCAUCAGCGUUACGAUUUGCAGCGUAAGGGGAUGAAGAUGGACUCGGGAAGGAAGACGAGCCGGGGCUUGGAUGGUAAGAUGAACAAGGGCUUGCAGCUGAUGAUCCACCAACCAUAUCCAUGUUCUCUAAAGGCUUGCAUCCCUGCUUGUGUUCAAUUUUUUCCAUCAAUUUAUCAAACAUUAGCAUGUGAAAACCUACCUAGGCUCAAAUUCUUUCUGUCUUGAUUUUUUAUCAAUUGAACUAUACAUAGGCUCAAAUUCGCAAUAUCAAAAAUAUUUUUGUCCAUCUUAAGAAAAAAUCUUCCUCUAACAUAGCCAAAUGUCACACUUAUAGUUACAUUUUAGUAUUAAAUCAUUGCACUAAUAAUAAUUAACACAUUUUAGUAUUAAUAGUAGAUUAUACCAGAAUUUGGUUACUCAAGUUUUUCAGAAAAAACUUAGGUUCAUGUUCAUAUUAACCACAUAAAACUUAGAUAUAAGGCCAUGUAAUUUAACAAGAGAUAAAAAGUAAUAACAUUGGAUUCUAAUUAUAAACGUGAUUUCAAACAUGUCUCUCUCAUUUGGAAUGAAAUGAAUCAAGAAGAGUAACUUUACUGAGCACCUUCACAAAAGAAGGAUCAAUCAUGAGAAGAAGUGAGGCAAAUGGGUAUACAUAUAAUGGAAUCCUAUGUGGCCACCAACUAUGGAAUGGAACACCUGAAUUGGCAAAUGUACCCUCUCCAUUUUCUAAAUUACCAGGUUCAAUAUGACUUUAAUAGACAGAAAAAGGCACCAAACAAGGGCAUUUUGGUCACUCAACAAUUAGAAAAUAGAAAAUAAAAAAUAAAAAGUUACGGUUUCUCAGGUGACUAUGAGUCAAAGAAAGUGAUAGAAAAUUUAGUGUUUCCCACUAAAAUGUCAUGACCACUUUCUACACUUUUGGUGCAAAAUCAAAUAUGAAAAAAAGAAAAUAACAUUGAUUCACAUUUUUUAUUUUUCUCUCUUUUAGUAGAGAGAUACCAGUUUACUACCAAUUUAUCAUUUCUAAUAUUAACCAUUUAUGUCUCUCUGGUUUAAGAUGAAGUUCAUUUAAAUUAUUAACUUCCAUUUCAAUUUCUCUUCCAAAAUCAUUAAUAUGAAGGUCAAUUAUUGCCAUCUACACCACAUCAUCAUAGUUUUUUUAUGUCAUAGAAACUGCAACAAGAACGGUAUAUGUUUGAAAUGACAAUGAGUUUAGCAAAAUAGUCUAAUACUGUCGCAAUUUUGACAAAAAGUACAUUUUAAAACUUUAACAAAAUCACACCGGUGUCCAUGUGAUUUUACAAACUCGUUGUCUAUUCAGACAUGCACAAAUGUUGUAUCAAUCACAUUUGACCGUAAUCCUCAGCACCAUCGAUUACUAUCAGUCCAAACACGGACACAACAAUUACUACAACCACUUUUUAAAACAUUGAUGUUCUUUUAUUAUUCAAAAAAAAAAAAAAACAUUGAUGUUCUUUUAAAGAUAAAAUAAUAAUGUAAGAGAUUAAUUGUCAUGCAUAAGUGGUGUAAAACUUUUUUACACAUGCAUCCGUCAAAUCACAUUUUAAUAUCAUUUUAUAGGUUAGUUUCAAAAAUAUAUCCAUAAAAAUCUAUAUUGCAUGAUUUAGUUGAUUGUCCGUGUAAAAAGUUUUACACCGUUUAUAUAUACAAACUAAAUCCAUAAUGUAACAAUGCAAAGUAAUGUUACCUUACGAUAAGUGGUUCCAUCAGGUUCAACAGUCCAACCAGCUUCAUUACAAAGAGCUUUAAGAACUUCAUUGUUAUCACAAUGUUUAGGUAAUCUAAAGUUACCAUACAUUCUCAAACCAGAGAAGAUCUUAGCAGCUAUAGCUCUUCUUCUUCUCUCUCUCCUCUUGUUGUUCUCUCUCUCCUUCCAUGUUGGUAGUCUUGUACCUGAUGUCAUUGAGAGUAACUCUCAAAAGGGUGUUCACAAAAUGGAGAAAAGAAGUGAACUUUGAAGUAGAGAAAGAGGGAGGUGUGGAAGUACAAGAAGUGGGGUGUUGUUAGUAUAUUUGGAAAUGGAUUUGGAGGUGGAGGGUGAUCUUUGUCGGAAAAAUGAGAGAGUGAGAGGGAAAAUUGUGGAAUGAAAAUGAAGGAAAGGGAAAAAGUGAAGGGAAGCGUGGAUUUUGGGUGGGGUAUAUGUACUUGAUUAGCCAAAUUUGCGGAUCCAAUCAUAAUAAAUCAUCAAUAUUAGAUUUUGGUGUUGGAUUUUCUUAUAUUGGAGUUUAACCUUGGGUUUUAUUGAUUAGGUGUAAAUUAAACAUGACAACAAAACUUGGAUUUACAAGUAUCCGUCCAAAUCUAACUUAAGUUGAUGAGUUUUUUCCGAUUUGAUUAGGUUAGGGUAUAUAUUUGAGUUUUUCUCGUUUUUAAAAUACGAGACGGGUAACGGAGAUAUAAGUAUCCACCUUGAAUUCGUCUUGAAUGUAAAAAAGACCGUUAUGCAACACACGAUCAUCUAAUUGUCGUCCUUACUUUUGAGAUAUUAUUAAACUUUUAAUCGUUGUGAACAUUUAAGUAGUUUAAAUAUAUAUGAUGUUGGUGUUUUCCUGCCCCAAAUGGGUUAAGAUUAAUAGAAAGAAGGUGGAAAUUAAUUUAUGGUAGUAGGUUCGGGUAUAAACUAUGAGUUUAGGAAAAAUUCUUGGUUUGGGGUUGGUGCUGGAAAAACUUUUUUUUAUUAAAAAAUUGAUUUCACUGUAGGGAUAAGACGGGACGAGGAUAAUCGAACUUGUUGGAGAUAAAGAUGAUGUUCAAUUUCUCAUCCUUAUUAUGUUUUAGAUAAGGUAGCAUGUAAGUAUCUGAGAUUUGAGGAUGGAGACAUGGAAAGUGAAACUCAUGUGUUCGGUGUGUUCAAAUGCUUUGCAUAAACGAGGUGUGUGUAAAAAAAAUCAAAUGAAUGAAGUUGAGUCUAUUAAUUCAUAUAAGCCUAUCCAAAAAACCAAUAAAGUUUUCUUUUUUGACAAAAAAAACCAAAUAAAGUUAAAAAUAUGAUUUAUUAAAAUAAAUACAUUUUCAUCUUUCAAAACAAAAAUAUAUCUUUAAAAAGAUGGGCUAUGAUAAAAGUGAAAUAAUAAUAACCGAAGUAGUGCUAUCCUUUUUUUCUUUUUGUUCUUUUUUAUUUAUUUAUUGGUUUUAAUUUGCCUUCAAUAGCUGACCAUAAAAGGAUAAAAGUGUGAGUGUGAUAUUUAGUCCCUUUUUCUUUUUGCCAUAGACCAUGGUCAUGUGGGUUUAUUGAUGAAAGUUCAGAACUGUUUGUUCAAUUAAUGCAACUUUUUUCCUGAAAAUGUUAGAUUCUACUGUGCAGAAGAACCAUUUUUUUUCCUGGUGGAAAGAAACCUUUUUUUUUUUUAAUAAAAGAAGAACCUUUGUUCUACAUAUUUGAAUUUGUCGUUGCAAAAUGAAAAUGGAUACUGCGACAAAAAAAAAAAUUAAAAUUCACACUAAUAAUUUUGUUAUACUUUUUUUAGCAACAUAAUUUUGCUAUACCUUUUUUUUAGGGAUAAUCUCAAAACAUUAAUUUAAAUAUUUAAUAGUCAUAUGUUAAUUUGUUUAUCUUAUGGUAAAAUUAAUUAAAAUAGUAAUAUAUAGUUUGACAAUAGGCAAAUAGGAACAUCUAGUGGAAGUAUCUUAGAGAAUGCUUAAAACAUAUUAAAUUGUAACUUAACAUCUUUUACCAUUAGAGACGAACUAUGUGGCACUAUGGAUUACAUAAACAUGUGAGAGUAUCUCGAACAAGGUACUAUUCCAUAUCAAUUAAAAAUGAGUAUAUUGAACUAAAUAAAAAUUAUUAAAGUGCUCUAAAAAAUUUAUGUGUUUGGUAAAAACAAAUAUUGAAGUGUUGGUUCUAUAAAGAUUGCUUAAAUUUUUUAGCAUUGGAGUGAAAAUAUGUUUGAAUUGUUUAAGGGUGACAUGAUAUUGCGAAAAUCAGCUAUAAAAUCAACUUUAAAUUCAAAAAGUGAGAGAGAAAAAAAAAGUUUCAAAAGUGACCUUAACACCCUUAAUACUUUGAAAGAAUGGGAAUUUAAUAUACUUUUUACGUGAUAUAAUUAAAAUUGGAAAUUUGAAAGAGAUGAAAAAGAGAUGUAUUAUAGUGUAAACUUUCUCUUGCAAUUGUCAAUUGUGAGUGCAAAAUAGGCACAUGAUGAAUCCUUUAAUCCAGAACUAGGCCCCAGUUUUUUUUAUGUCUUCUCUUCCACCAACCAAAGUAACUUUAAUUAGAGUUUGGAGAGGAACAUCCAGGGCCUACACCACAAAUAAGACACAAUUUUCACUGGCCAAUUGCAAAAAAAGAAAACAUAUAUAGAAGCAAACUCACAAAAUAAUUAAAAAGAACCGAAAAGGAAAUGUAGAGCUUUUGAGUAAAUGGUAAAGUAGUAGUGCAUCAUGUAUGUGAUUGUAGAUGAUGCUGUGAAACUCAAUGAUGGUAGCUUCUUUGGAAACUCGGGUUGCUCUGGUUAUGGAGAUUUAAUUUGUGAUUCUCCUUUAUAAUCAAGCUGAACAUGAAGCUUUUAUCAUAAUUUUAACCCAUUUGGGAUUAGUCUAGCGGUUGGCUUGGGAUCUUGGAGUGCGUUCCUCUUAAAGUCUCAAGUUCGAUCCCUCUGGUGCCAAUUUUAGUGGAGAGUGGGAUUGGUCUACUCAGAUUAAUCGGUCCUUGGAUUGAAUAUCGAGUUUAAAGAAGAAUUUUUUUUUAACAUUUUAUUUAACUCUUUGAUAGAGUUUAAUAGAUAAGAAAUCCAUGUACUAUAUUGUGAUGUGAUUUUUUGUCUAAUAAUAAUAUGAAUUAACUUCUCUUCUGUAAAAUAUUUGACACCAAAUUUAAAAAUUUAGAAUCUCCACUUGGCACAUGUUACCCAUCUUUAUUAAUGAAAAUUCAAAUUAAAAGUAGAAUCAGAUCAUAAUCUUCAACUGACUUUUUCCCUAUCCUUUGUAUUUGUACUCAUGGCUCUUGUUUUAUAUUCUUGGCAUCACUCAUCAUUGGAAAUGACCUACGUACUUUCUACUCUCUUCAAUUCAAUCUUCAUAAUGAAAUAUAUGUCAUAUCUCUCUUACCAUAUCUACGUUCCUUUCACUCCAUGAAAAUGACAGUCACAAUUUAAUUUAAGAAAAAGGAAAAGCACUAAUUAUUGAACAAAGUGAAGGUUCUGUUCAAUUUUGAUCCAUUGACAACUAGGAGUUUAAAAAGAAGGGUAAGCUCUUCCAAGAAGCUUUUGUUUAAUCAAAGAGUAAUAAAUCACAAUAAUAGAAGUAAGAAGAUACCAUUCAUAGUCACACAAUGGCACCGUUACAGCAAAUAUUGACAUGGCAAGGACAAAAAAUAUUCGUAGCCAAACUCAAAUAUCAGGUCAAAGAUAUUCGAAAAACAGACACAUCACAAGAGGACAGAUCCAUUCCAGUUUCUGAAAAAUGAUCAGUGUGAAGGUAGCAAGUACUGGCAUAUUGGUCCACAGGUGAUCAUUAAAAACAAGAACUUUUUAGUUCUUUUGAUUUCAGAAAUCUAAGAAAAAUGGUAUAUUUUGUCACCCUGAAAAAAAAAUCAGAAAAACAAGUGAUAGAAAAUUGGAAAAGAUAUAUGGUAGGCCUAUAACCCAAUCCGAAUUUGCAUUUAACUUCCUUGGUCAUGCAGGUACAUUUGAAUCUUUUGCCUAAUUUUACUUUGAAUAUAAAUACCAACCCAAUCCAUUACAGGUAUAUUGAUCUUUCCAAUAGUAUUUGAGGGUUUAACAUGAUUGACCAAAAUGAAAGGGUUGAAAAAUCAUCCCACACCUAACUACUAACUAAAGUUGUAUACAUAAUAUAUAACUUAAGAAUAAAUAAGACCUUAGAGAAAAUAAAAGAAUAAAAUAAAAUAAAAUGGAAGAGCAAAUGCUCGCUUUCAUCACCUUAACUCCCUCCUCUAACUUUUCUACAUAAUAUAACAGAGUCAAAUUUCAUAUUGAGGGGACCACUGACUAUUCAUUUAUGCAGCACUUUUUUUUGGGAUAGCUCAUUUAUGCAGCAUUUUACCUGCAACAAAGUGAAUUCAGGUUACACUUUUAUUCAAAAUGAAUGAAUAAUAAAAAAUCAAAAUUUCAAUAUAUCAAAUAUACAUGUUUUUUUAAUUUUGCCCUGUUUUUCAAAUGUUGUCACUACCUACCUGGUCUUUGAGGUACCAAGAGUGAGCUCUAAAUCAUCUGAUCCAGAAUCUUCAUGGAUCCUCUCUCCUUCCCAAGGCUUCACCAAACCAACUGCACUGCUUCCAAAGGCAAAUUCAUCUGAAAUAGCUUCAGACAUUGGUAUGUCAGCAUUAUGAUCAGAGCCUGCAGCUAAAGCUGGAGAACAUGUCCCACUUUGUCCAGGGGUCCACAUGCGGGAAUCACUGCCACAGAAAACCUCUUCCCUGAAGCCAAAUGGAUUAGUAGCAACUAGGCUGAAGGUAGGAGAAGUUUGCCCGCUGUGGGGCAUCCUAAUACCAGCAAACCAAUCUGGGUCGAGAACUUGGCGACCAGGGCUAGGAGGAGUGGAGGAAGGCUGGAAAGAGUACUGCUGCCCACCCCACCCAGGGCGAGUAGACUGAUCCUCCCAGUCAGCUUUCCUCUGGGGUGAUCGAGCAGUUGGAGAGCUAAGUGGAGGAGUGACAGGAGCACUGAUGGAGCCGGUGUGAAUAUAUAGCUGUGGAAGCUUGGAAGAGGAUGCUGAUGAUGAUCCAGAUGAGAGGUUUUUGAGCCAUGGAAUGAGGGAAUUUCCAUCACCAUUAGGAUUUACAGCAUGGGAUGAGCGCGGGCUAGGGAAGGAAGAAGAGCCAGGACUUGGGUUGUAGGAAGCACAGGGACUUACAUGGUAAGAUGAACACGGGCUUCCCAUUG